Long non-coding RNA from Acanthaster planci (crown-of-thorns starfish), 1419 nucleotides. NCBI's taxonomy places the organism in Eukaryota, Metazoa, Echinodermata, Asteroidea, Valvatida, Acanthasteridae. The record is from RefSeq and is a predicted model, not a curated record.
UAUGAGGAUGGCAUCGCUAGUGUUGCUCUCAAAGCUUGACCUGCAGGGGAUGACACCGUGAAAUAGUGGAUAGCUCAGUGUCUCUUGAAAGGUGACGAAUUGCUGCGUUUCUACAAAGCAGCUUUUGAGAGUACGGAGUUUUUGAAGCCCAAACCGCCCGGUACCUAUUCGGGACACAUUACGUGAAGACGUUCAUUUGCACAAGGACAGAAUUUCGGUAUUGGAGAGAAAAUAGAUCGGUGGCUGUUUCAAGUGUCGACGGCUCUUCUGUCAUGGGGCUGCACUCGCCGGUUGACGGCUCGGGAGACAGGGUUGGAGAGUGCCUGUCCCGAGCGGUCAUGGCCCCACAUCUCAACCAACAGAUCCAAGUUCCGUCGCUUCUUUGACGAUUCGGGUGCUGACAUGUCUCCCCAUGUUUCCGCCAUGAAGGUCCGGCUUUGGUCCACCCACGCCGGUAAUCGGGCUUUGCUGCAGCCGAUAAAUCAUCUUCACCGUCGUCCAUACCGCUGGCAUCGCGAGCAUUGGAGGACAUGUCGGAGUUGCUAUCGGCCAACAAUUCGUGCAAAAUGUGAUUGCUCGUUUAUUAGCUGUGUGAAACAUUACAUGUCAGGUAUAAGAAGCCAGCAUUAAAAAGUUUGGCUUCCAUCUGGUUGGAGCCCUGCAUCUAAGACAAAUGUCAAAAUCGCCUUGAAAGUAUGGAAAUAGAUCCCUGAACCAGAACGUGUCAGAGUCAGUAAACAAAACUUCACGUCCCUGCUUCAGAAGAGAGAGAAAAUACACCUAGCGCCAGUUCGUGUAGCCGUAGUACUGACUACGAUUAUGGGUCGAGGGCUCCAUAUCCCCGAGUUCUUCUAAGAAAGUCUUCUGAACAUGGAUAGCUGAGUCGUCUCUUGCUAAAUUACGUAACAUAUCAUAAACUUUGGAAUCUUCUGCAAUGACUGUGGUGUUGAUGCAAACUCCAACUUUUUGAUACUCCAUCAUAUGAAGCAGGAUAUUCAUAAAAUCAAAGUUUACUCCGGUCACCAUUACUGUACCGCUUUCAUGCUUUAUUUCAGUUGGACAGUUUUCCACAGACCAAUUACUGGCAUCUUGUUAUCCUUGGUCUGGGAGGCAGAUGUUUUGUUGAUCACUCCGAUCCUGUUUGAUUUGCAUUCACAUGGCUUCUUGUUAGGUUUAAAUGCAACAGGAGAAAUAUGAUUGUAAUCUGGAAAACAAAAGCCACGACAUUGUAACUUCGGGGGAGUCAUUGUCAAAAUGUGAAGUCAUGGGAAUGAACGGUUCAAGUCUUAAACACAAAAUAAAUAAUUGAUUUGGGACUAAUUACAUCCAUUUGGCUUUUCCGCUUUUUGCGAAAAAGGUGUUCUUUAGCCUUUCCAGCGUUUCAGCGAAACAGUUUUUGUUUUUCGUAAGAUUUUUUUU